Molecule: ribosomal RNA, 485 nt
Filed under: uncultured bacterium
Lineage: Bacteria
Description: partial 16S ribosomal RNA
Rfam family: Bacterial small subunit ribosomal RNA
Source: RNAcentral
AUUGAACGCUGGCGGCAGGCCUAACACAUGCAAGUCGAGCGGAUGAAGGGAGCUUGCUCCUGGAUUCAGCGGCGGACGGGUGAGUAAUGCCUAGGAAUCUGCCUGGUAGUGGGGGAUAACGUCCGGAAACGGGCGCUAAUACCGCAUACGUCCUGAGGGAGAAAGUGGGGGAUCUUCGGACCUCACGCUAUCAGAUGAGCCUAGGUCGGAUUAGCUAGUUGGUGGGGUAAAGGCCUACCAAGGCGACGAUCCGUAACUGGUCUGAGAGGAUGAUCAGUCACACUGGAACUGAGACACGGUCCAGACUCCUACGGGAGGCAGCAGUGGGGAAUAUUGGACAAUGGGCGAAAGCCUGAUCCAGCCAUGCCGCGUGUGGGAAGAAGGUCUUCGGAUUGUAAAGCACUUUAAGUUGGGAGGAGGGGCAGUAAGUUAAUACCUUGCUGUUUUGACGUUACCAACAGAAUAAGCACCGGCUAACUUCGUGC